This 388-nucleotide ribosomal RNA is filed under the name uncultured bacterium. RNAcentral describes it as "bacterial SSU rRNA". It matches the Rfam family "Bacterial small subunit ribosomal RNA", at positions 30 to 420 of the family's 1533-position model. The record is from RNAcentral.
AUUGAACGCUGGCGGCAUGCCUUACACAUGCAAGUCGAACGGUAGAGUAGCAAUACUUGAGAGUGGCGAACGGGUGAGUAAUAUAUCGGAACGUGCCCAGUCGUGGGGGAUAACGUAGAGAAAUUUACGCUAAUACCGCAUACGAUCUAAGGAUGAAAGCGGGGGAUUCGCAAGAACCUCGCGCGAUUGGAGCGGCUGAUAUCAGAUUAGGUUGUUGGUGAGGUAAAAGCUCACCAAGCCGACGAUCUGUAGCUGGUUUGAGAGAACGACCAGCCACACUGGGACUGAGACACGGCCCAGACUCCUACGGGAGGCAGCAGUGGGGAAUUUUUGGACAAUGGGCGAAAGACCUGAUCCAGCAAUGCCGCGUGCAGGAAGAAGGCCUCGG